AACGAACGCUGGCGGCGCGCCUAAUACAUGCAAGUCGAGCGAGAAGACGUAGCAAUACGUUUGUAAAGCGGCGAACGGGUGAGGAAUACAUGGGUAACCUACCCUCGAGUGGGGAAUAACUAGCCGAAAGGUUAGCUAAUACCGCGUACGCUCCUUGGACUUCGGUUCAGGGAGGAAAGCGAUACCGUGGGUAUCGCGCUCUUGGAUGGGCUCAUGUCCUAUCAGCUUGUUGGUGAGGUAACGGCUCACCAAGGCUUCGACGGGUAGCUGGUCUGAGAGGACAAUCAGCCACACUGGCACUGCGACACGGGCCAGACUCCUACGGGAGGCAGCAGUAAGGAAUAUUGCGCAAUGGGCGAAAGCCUGACGCAGCGACGCCGCGUGGGGGAUGAAGGUCUUCGGA
This 403-nucleotide ribosomal RNA is filed under the name uncultured bacterium. RNAcentral describes it as "bacterial SSU rRNA". It matches the Rfam family "Bacterial small subunit ribosomal RNA", at positions 29 to 422 of the family's 1533-position model. The record is from RNAcentral.